This 469-nucleotide ribosomal RNA is filed under the name Paenibacillus borealis. RNAcentral describes it as "bacterial SSU rRNA". It matches the Rfam family "Bacterial small subunit ribosomal RNA", at positions 16 to 469 of the family's 1533-position model. The record is from RNAcentral. Lineage: Bacteria; Bacillati; Bacillota; Bacilli; Caryophanales; Paenibacillaceae.
AUCCUGGCUCAGGACGAACGCUGGCGGCGUGCCUAAUACAUGCAAGUCGAGCGGAGUUUGGUUGGAAGCUUGCUUCCAAUCUUGCUUAGCGGCGGACGGGUGAGUAACACGUAGGCAACCUGCCCUCAAGACUGGGAUAACUACCGGAAACGGUAGCUAAUACCGGAUAAUUUCUUUCCUCUCCUGAAGAGAGAAUGAAAGGCGGAGCAAUCUGCCACUUGGGGAUGGGCCUGCGGCGCAUUAGCUAGUUGGUGGGGUAACGGCUCACCAAGGCGACGAUGCGUAGCCGACCUGAGAGGGUGAACGGCCACACUGGGACUGAGACACGGCCCAGACUCCUACGGGAGGCAGCAGUAGGGAAUCUUCCGCAAUGGGCGACAGCCUGACGGAGCAACGCCGCGUGAGUGAUGAAGGUUUUCGGAUCGUAAAGCUCUGUUGCCAGGGAAGAACGUCCGGUAGAGUAACUGCU